GUGGCAACUAUUUUUUGACAGUUAACAUCAUUUCCGGUUGCUUUUCGGGCCUCUAUGAUUGGUUAAAUCGUUACUUUUGUGUUCGAAGUGUGGUGUCGACAAAAAACGUGUUCCAGUAAGUUAGUGAAUUUUAGCAGAUCUCUAUAUGCGCACAAUAAUUAUAUUAGAAUUAAUUAAGUAUGGUAGUAAUUCUAGACAUUGAUAAAUUUUUGACUCGCGAUGAUCUAAGACUACUCAAAAGUGCUAAGUGGCCAUGGAGAAGAUCGCACUUUAUACUAGCAAAGAAAUGUCACAACUGUAACGCUAAUACUAACACGUACCCUGGAUUACCUACUCACUUUGUAAUAUUUAGUGCCAAAUACAUAUAUCGUCUUUUAAAUCAUAAUUUUUUCUGGUGUCAAACUUGUUCAUUCUUUACUAUAUAUGAUCAUUUUCCGGAAGACGAGUGCAAAUAUUGCGAAUGUUAACAAAGACAGCUACGCAACUACCCUAAAAAUUAAUAAAAAUGCCAUUAACCGGAGCUGAACGGGCUAAAAAAUUUAGAGAAAAAUUAAAGGAGGAUCCAGAAAAGUAUGAAAGAUAUAAACAGAAACAAAGAGAACGAGUUGCUAAACGAAGGAAAAAAAUUGAUGAUUUAGAUGAUAACGAGAAAGAAAAGCAAAGGGAACAGUGGAGAAAAGAAAAAAGAGUUCAAAAAAAAAGAAAAGAUGUAAAAAGUAAUCAAGAGGCAAAUAAUCAAGUAACCAUACCAAAAAAUAGAACUAAUAAGCAAAGUAGUAAACUGAAUAAAAAGUUACAAAGGGUAUACGCUAACUACUACAGGGCUCAAAAAAAACAACAAAAGUUGAAUACAGUCAUUGGUCGUCUCAGGAAGCAGUUAAUUCGCACUAAGCAAAAAGUACAAGGUUUGGAAACAUCUAAAAGUGUAGCUGAAAAAGAACUGAAUAGUUUGAAAAAUGCUGUGAAAGAGACUUAUACAGAAUGCAAAACACUGGCAGAGAAAAGAUCGUUAAAAAAAAUUGCAUACAAAUUUAAACAACGGUCUGGAAAGAACCUGCCGAAAAUUUUGGGCCUAAAAACUAAAAUAAGAUUUUUCAAUCGUAGAAGCAAUAACAAUUACGGGACAUUAAAGGUUCGAGAAAACAUUGCCGCAUUCUAUCUUCGAGAUGACGUAUCUAGAUGUGCAGCUGGACGAAGAGAAUGUAAAACGAGAAACAAACAAAAGAUGCAAAUAAGAUAUUUGCUAGACACCCUUCCGAAUACUUAUCGUAUGUAUGUAGAAGAAGGCGGAAAAUUAGGUUUUACUACAUUUUAUCGCUGUAAACCAUUUUAUGUUAUAACGCCCACUCGUGCUGCUAGAGAUACGUGCAUGUGCAUUAAACACAGCAAUUUCCAAUAUUUGUUUACCGCUUUGAAAUAUCGAUCAAUUAUAUCGUACAAAAAUAUUGACGAAGUUGUGAAAUGUUAUUCUUGUGAUAUUACUUCAUUUAACUGUAUGCACGGAUGCUGUGAGGUUUGCAAAAAUCCUCUCUUGCAAAUUCAUAGUAAUCAAGCUAAUGAUACUAUUAAGUGGUACCAAUGGGUAAGAACUGAUCACAAAUACCAAAAAGCUAGUAAAGAAUGCGUAACAAAAAAAACAAUUAAGCAAGAACAGGUAGGUACUGUCGCUGAUUUAACAUCCUUAUUCCUAGAAAAAAUACCACACUUUAAAGUACACGUUUACAACUGGAAAGAACAGCAAAGACAGUAUCAAAAAUGUGUAAAUAAUCUUAAGAAUGGUGAGAUCGCAAUCUUAUGUGAUUUUUCAGAGAAUUAUGAAUGUAAAUAUGCACAUGAGGUUCAGUCAAUUCAUUUUGGUGCCUCAAAAAAUACUAUUACUCUCCAUACUGGUGCAAUAUUUUUUUCUGAUAAAUGUCAAACAUUUGCAACCGUUUCUGAUAAUAAUAACCAUGAACCUGGAGCUAUCUGGGCUCAUUUAUUACCUGUUAUUAAAUAUGCAAAGGAAAGUUACCCGGAAAUUUCUGUAAUUCAUUUUUUUUCAGAUGGACCAACAAGCCAGUAUCGACAAAAAAAAAAUUUUUUCCUGCUUAAUUUAUUUACUUGUAAAUUAAAUCUUAAUUAUUCUACAUGGUCUUUCUCAGAAAGUGGCCAUGGUAAGAGCGUUGCUGAUGGCGUUGGUGGCAGCGUAAAACGCCAAUUAGAUAGAAGAGUCUCAUACGGUUGCGAUAUCACUAAUGCAACAGAUGCCUAUAAAGUUUUGUCUAAAUCAAUGAAAACAGUAAAAUGUUUUUAUGUUAACGAUACCGACUCAAGGAAUAUUUGUAAACUUAUCCCAUCUAAUAUUGCUACCGUGCCUGGAACGAUGAAAUUACAUCAAAUAAUUUCAUCAUCCAAAAACAUUAUCAAAUAUCGCUUGCUUAGUUGUUUUUGUGGCGACAAUGCAGGUUUAUGUAACUGCUUUAGCCCUAAGUUACAUAAUCUUAUUCCUAAUGAAACGGAACCAAAAAAAGAAGUUUUAAGUAAAGAUGCAGUUAAUCUAUCGUUAUUUGAAGAAACACACCUGAAUGAAUCUAGCAUAAGUAAUCGAGCUGAUCUUAAGGACCAACCAAUUGUUAUAACUGUGCCAUCAGAGAUGGAAUAUGAUUUACCAUCUCCAUCUCUGUCAAUUGGUUUUGUAACCGAACGAAUUGAUCUGACAAGUUUGAGUUUUGAUAUUGAUACGAAUUUUGAUAUUGAGAGUACCAACAGUGAUCUUCCAGCAGUACAUAUCACAAGUCCUAAAUGUGAAAAAAAACGCGCUCGUGUCUUGUAUCCUGGAGACCCUGAACCACCUCCUAAAAAAGUAAGUUCAAGCUCUCUUCUAUACAAUACGAGGUCUUUUAAUAAAUCUAAAAAUAUUGGCUUUACUUGCAAGUUGUGUCAAAUGGAAUUAAAAAGUAAAAUAAAGUGCAUAGUUUGUAAAUCCGAUAUAUGUCUGAAAUGCAGUGGGACAGUCUUUUUUGAUUACAUAUGUCCUCCUUGUCUUUGUGACUCAGAUGAAAGUUAAGUUUCACCUUAAUUUAAAUUUAAUAAAUAAUUAGUAGGCUGCUGACAUUGUCAGUCAUUUCUUCAUGAUGAUAAUUAUGUUAAAUAUUUAGUUUCUUGGAGUAAAUUACUCGAAACGUCUAACUUCAUAAUCAAUCAUUGAUUGAUAUGCCGUAAUUUUUCUAACAUUGUGUUGUAAUUGACAACUGUGAUUGAUUUUGAGACUGAUAAAAAAUGUAACUUGUAGUAGUAGUAGUUUUAUAAGGUAAAAAAAAAUAUCGUAACGAUGAUAAUUAUUUUAUAUUAGUUUUUUACAGAGAAAAAAAUAUUUCGUACGGGCUAACUUAAUUAAUCAUUGAUUAGUAUGCCGUAAUUUUGCUAACUUGAUUUUGAGACUGAUGAGAACAAAAUAUCUUGUAGAAGUAAGAUUAAAAGUUAGUGUUUGUGAUCUCAGCUUUAUGUUCCAAUUAGUACCUAAGAAUUCCGAUUAGUAAUUUGUUGAAGUGAGACUUCUUUAAGAACAUGUUAUUUUUCUUGGUUAAUUUAUAAGAAAAUGAUUAAUGUAAGAACGAAAUAUUAUUAACUUAAUAAUGUUUUACCUGAAUUGCUAAAAGAUUUAGUGUUAUACCUUGCGCUUUUUUCAUAAAAGGGUAUUAUACCUGUUCAUGAUGACAAAAAUGUUACGUAAUGGAAGUAAAUUCCGUGAUAAUUUGUAGAAAUAUACUUAAAAUGUUAUUGUUUGCUUUAAUUCUAAAUGAAAAUGAUUUCAUUAAUACGUUUUUCAAUAAAAAUAUACAAAAAA
RNA transcript from Plodia interpunctella (Indianmeal moth), 3826 nucleotides. RefSeq lists it as uncharacterized. NCBI's taxonomy places the organism in Eukaryota, Metazoa, Arthropoda, Insecta, Lepidoptera, Pyralidae. The transcript is spliced from 3 exons. The record is from RefSeq and is a predicted model, not a curated record.